Molecule: long non-coding RNA, 610 nt
Organism: Asparagus officinalis (garden asparagus)
Lineage: Eukaryota; Viridiplantae; Streptophyta; Magnoliopsida; Asparagales; Asparagaceae
Exons: 4
Source: RefSeq, a predicted model, not a curated record
CGCUUUCUCGGGUAUCGCGCUCAGCAUCCUCAAAGCCCUAACUCCGAAACCCCCGCCGCAAUUUCAACCUCAAUCUCUUCACAAACCCUCCUCAUCGGCUCCUUCACCUCCUCCGCCACCCAAGAAACCAGUAGAAGGAGAUCAAUUGGAACGUCGUGGGUUGUCUUCGAUUUCAGCUCGGACUGUGGAGAUCGUGAAGGGAGAUACGCUUUGGGGGCUUUCGAGGAAAUACGGGGUCACAAUCGAGGCGAUUAAGGGAGCAAAUGGGAUCACCGGGGACAAAAUCUACGCGGGGAAGAAGCUCGUUAUCCCUUGAACUUUCGGGCUUAAUCGGUUUGAAUUUUAACCCGAAAAGUUUUAUCUGAUUAAGUGUAGGAGUUAGUGUGGUGAGAAAUUUUAAACCCCUGCAGUUUGUAUGACUGUAGGAUUGGAUCUAUUUUCAUGUGCAGUUGAUGUAUAUGCUAAUCAUGGUGUUAAUGGGAAUUUGGAAGGCUUAUCACAAUGCUACUGUUAGCAAAGUGGAUCUCUGUGGUACAAGUGUUGCGGUUUUCUGUAUUUCUAUCGAAUUUUACUGUUUUUGAAGUUAGCUACGGACAGCGUUGCGGUUUUC